Molecule: transfer RNA, 73 nt
Filed under: Camelus bactrianus (Bactrian camel)
Lineage: Eukaryota; Metazoa; Chordata; Mammalia; Artiodactyla; Camelidae
Also listed under: 2 other names
Rfam family: tRNA
About the family: Transfer RNA (tRNA) molecules are approximately 80 nucleotides in length. Their secondary structure includes four short double-helical elements and three loops (D, anti-codon, and T loops). Further hydrogen bonds mediate the characteristic L-shaped molecular structure. tRNAs have two regions of fundamental functional importance: the anti-codon, which is responsible for specific mRNA codon recognition, and the 3' end, to which the tRNAs corresponding amino acid is attached (by aminoacyl-tRNA synthetases). tRNAs cope with the degeneracy of the genetic code in two manners: having more than one tRNA (with a specific anti-codon) for a particular amino acid; and 'wobble' base-pairing, i.e. permitting non-standard base-pairing at the 3rd anti-codon position.
Source: Rfam by way of RNAcentral
GAGGGUAUAGCUCAAGUGAUAGAGUGCAUGCUUAGCAUGCAUGAGGUCCUGGGUUCAAUUCCCAGUACCUCCU